UUCAAAUUUUCUAAGAUCAAAUGUCAGGCUCUUUCCAAUUCUUUUUUCUAACAUAACAGUAGUGGAUUGGUAUUCUCUGUUUGUUUAUAUAAGAAGGGCCAUUGCAGCUGCCUCUAUUACUUCAAAACGAUAUGGCUUCUUUCGUAGUCUUUCUUCGCUAUCUGGUCUCUAUCACUCUCUGCAUUGCCUAUGCUUCUGCAUAUGCUACUCAACACCUUGAUGGUGAACUACCAAAUGGACACUUCGAAGAAUCACCCCGUUCCUCAAACCUUAAGAAAACAGUCAUCCUCGGCAAACACUCACUCCCUAAGUGGGAGAUCGACGGCCUGGUGGAGUACAUCUCAGGUGGGCCGCAGCCUGGUGGGUUCUACUUUCCGGUGGCGCGUGGCGUCCACGCUCUGAGGCUCGGCAACGAGGCCUCCAUUUCUCAGAACGUGAACGUUAACCCGGGUUCAGUUUACUCCCUCACUUUUAGCACCACAAGGACUUGUGCUCAAGACGAAGUGCUCAGGGUCUCGGUGCCAGGUCAGUCUGCAGAGCUUUCCGUUCAGACUUUGUACAGCAACAAUGGGGGUGACACUUAUGCAUGGGCCUUUAAGGCAACUUCUAAGGUUGUUAGGGUUACGUUCCACAACCCUGGGAUUCAAGAGGACCCAGCCUGCGGCCCUCUGUUGGAUGCUAUUGCAAUCAAGGAGAUCAUACUGCCUCAGAAGUAUAUAAGAGGUAACCUAGUCAAAAACGGUGGAUUUGAAAACGGUCCUCAUGUGUUCAAGAAUUUUUCAACUGGAGUGCUCCUCCCUCCACAGUUACUGGACCAAAUCUCACCCCUGCCAGGAUGGAUCAUUGAAUCCCUAAAACCUGUGAAGUACAUUGACAGGAAGCACUUCUCAGUACCAACCGGAUUCGCAGCAAUCGAAUUAUCGAAUUGGUCGCAGGAAGGGAGACUGCCAUUGCUCAAAUUAUUAGAACAAUCCCAAACAAAUCCUACAACCUUAUGUUCACCAUCGGAGAUGCAAAGAAUGGCUGUCAUGGAUCGAUGAUGGUUGAAGCCUUUGCGGGUAAGGAAACUUUAAAAGUUCCUUAUGUGUCUCAAGGCAAGGGUGGAUUCAGAACUGCAAGCUUCAAGUUCCAAGCAGUUUCCUCGAGAACUAGAAUAACAUUUUACAGUGCAUAUUAUCACACAAAGCUUCAUGAUUUUGGUCAUAUGUGUGGCCCUGUCCUAGACAAUGUCAUUGUCUUUCCAAGCAGAUACUAA
This is an RNA transcript of Fragaria vesca subsp. vesca, 1255 nucleotides long. RefSeq lists it as uncharacterized. The transcript has 3 exons. The record is from RefSeq and is a predicted model, not a curated record. NCBI's taxonomy places the organism in Eukaryota, Viridiplantae, Streptophyta, Magnoliopsida, Rosales, Rosaceae.